Molecule: long non-coding RNA, 731 nt
Filed under: Cyanistes caeruleus (blue tit)
Lineage: Eukaryota; Metazoa; Chordata; Aves; Passeriformes; Paridae
Description: lncRNA (ENSCCEG00000011287.1)
Source: RNAcentral
CAGACAUGGAGCUCAUGCACCAUUUCCUCUUGGGGAGCUCAGCUCUGCCAGCCCUGCCCACACGGAGGGAACAGGGAGCAGGUGCUGGCUGAAGGUGUGGCAGGAGCUCCUGAGAGCUCCUGAGGAGUUGAUUCCGUGCAUGAAGUUAACUGCUGGGACUGGCACUCUUACAGAUAUCCAGAGGUCCCCGUGUCCUCCUGACCCUGGGCUUCAGUGCAGCCUGACACGAAGGGAGGGUAGGGCAGGAACGGUGCAGGGCCAAGGCUGUCAGAGCACAAGCACUUGGAGCUGCAAUCAUGUGCAUAAAAGGCUUCAGAGCUGCCUGAGAACUAGCACUGAAGAUAUAUCCUUGACAUUUUCGGGUGCUGAACAUUUAUCAGAGGUCUGAACUCCUGUAGAUGUUUUGUGUGGACUCAGCCCCAAUGCAGAGGACAUCUUCCUCCAGGAUCUCCCAGCCCCUCAGGAACACACUUGCACCAGGAAAGGCAUCUGCAACCCAUGGAGCUGUGGCCCAUUUUGUCUUGAUAUUCCAGCCAGCAAAUAACCUCAUGUCCCAGAGAAAUGUAUUGCAACUUGGAUGAAAACCUAUGAAAUGAUGUCACCUUAAACGAUUUCAAUACUAAAUCUGUGUCAUCCUCCUCUGUUUAUCCUUUGAGAUUUGACUUCUUCUUAUAUAACAGAUAGGGUUUUUUGAUAUAUGGCCUUCAGAUUAACUCAAAGGCAAAAUAAAU